AGCGGAGGAAAAGAAACUAACAAGGAUUCCCCUAGUAACGGCGAGUGAAGCGGGAAGAGCUCAAAUUUGUAAUCUGGCGGCCUUUGGCCGUCCGAGUUGUAGUCUCGAGAAGCGUCUUCUGCGUCGGACCGUGUACAAGUCCCUUGGAACAGGGCGUCGUAGAGGGUGAGAAUCCCGUCUUUGACACGGACUGCCGGUGCUCUGUGAUGCGCUCUCAAAGAGUCGAGUUGUUUGGGAAUGCAGCUCAAAACGGGUGGUAAAUUCCAUCUAAAGCUAAAUAUUGGCGAAAGACCGAUAGCGAACAAGUACCGUGAGGGAAAGAUGAAAAGCACUUUGGAAAGAGAGUUAAACAGUACGUGAAAUUGCUGAAAGGGAAACGCUUGAAGUCAGUCGCGUCUCCCGGGAUUCAGCCGUGCCCCUGUCGGGGCGCGGUGUACUUCCUGGCUGUGACGGGCCAGCAUCGAUUUUGGCCGUCGGAGAAAGGCCUUGGGAAUGUGGCACCUUCGGGUGUGUUAUAGCCCUGGGUCGCAUGCGACGGUCGGGAUCGAGGACCGCAGCACGUUUCUCCUUCCUUCGCGGGAAAGGGGCUCGGGGUUCGCCCACGCAAACGUUGCUUAGGAUGCUUGGCGUAA
RNAcentral lists this ribosomal RNA (632 nucleotides) under Turbinellus floccosus. RNAcentral describes it as "eukaryotic LSU rRNA". It matches the Rfam family "Eukaryotic large subunit ribosomal RNA", at positions 49 to 635 of the family's 3401-position model. Lineage: Eukaryota; Fungi; Basidiomycota; Agaricomycetes; Gomphales; Gomphaceae. The record is from RNAcentral.